Molecule: ribosomal RNA, 404 nt
Filed under: uncultured prokaryote
Description: bacterial SSU rRNA
Rfam family: Bacterial small subunit ribosomal RNA
Source: RNAcentral
UGGGGAAUAUUGCACAAUGGGCGAAAGCCUGAUGCAGCAACGCCGCGUGAGCGAUGAAGGCCUUCGGGUCGUAAAGCUCUGUCCUCAAGGAAGAUAAUGACGGUACUUGAGGAGGAAGCCCCGGCUAACUACGUGCCAGCAGCCGCGGUAAUACGUAGGGGGCAAGCGUUAUCCGGAAUUACUGGGUGUAAAGGGUGAGUAGGCGGCAUGGCAAGUAAGAUGUGAAAGCCCGAGGCUUAACCUCGGGAUUGCAUUUUAAACUGCUAAGCUAGAGUACAGGAGAGGAAAGCGGAAUUCCUAGUGUAGCGGUGAAAUGCGUAGAUAUUAGGAAGAACACCAGUGGCGAAGGCGGCUUUCUGGACUGAAACUGACGCUGAGGCACGAAAGCGUGGGGAGCGAACAGG